Molecule: ribosomal RNA, 115 nt
Filed under: Cordylochernes scorpioides
Lineage: Eukaryota; Metazoa; Arthropoda; Arachnida; Pseudoscorpiones; Chernetidae
Source: RNAcentral
ACGGCCAUACCACAUUGAAAACACCUGUUCUCGUCCGAUCACCGAAGUUAAGCAAUGUCGGGCCCGGUCAGUACUUGGGAGGGUGACCACCUGGGAACACCGGGUGCUGUAGGCU